Molecule: ribosomal RNA, 306 nt
Filed under: uncultured bacterium
Lineage: Bacteria
Description: partial 16S ribosomal RNA
Rfam family: Bacterial small subunit ribosomal RNA
Source: RNAcentral
GACAGCAGCCGCCGCGGUAAUACGUAGGUGGCAAGCGUUGUCCGGAAUUAUUGGGCGUAAAGCGCGCGCAGGUGGUUUAAUAAGUCUGAUGUGAAAGCCCACGGCUCAACCGUGGAGGGUCAUUGGAAACUGUUAAACUUGAGUGCAGGAGAGAAAAGUGGAAUUCCUAGUGUAGCGGUGAAAUGCGUAGAGAUUAGGAGGAACACCAGUGGCGAAGGCGGCUUUUUGGCCUGCAACUGACACUGAGGCGCGAAAGCGUGGGGAGCAAACAGGAUUAGAUACCCGUGUAGUCCCUGUCUCUUAUAA